RNAcentral lists this small RNA (155 nucleotides) under Plasmodium falciparum FCC-2/Hainan. RNAcentral describes it as "Plasmodium RNA of unknown function RUF6-5". It matches the Rfam family "Plasmodium RNA of unknown function RUF6-5". Lineage: Eukaryota; Apicomplexa; Aconoidasida; Haemosporida; Plasmodiidae. The record is from Rfam by way of RNAcentral.
AGCUGCUCCAGUAGCCCACUCGUUAGGUAUGUUGCCUUCCCCUGUGAGAACGUGGGUUCGCUCCGCUGGCCGGCAAUUGCAUAGGAAAAGUUGCAGAUCGGGCUGUUGGGUUACCCGGAGGGGGGGGGCGCAUUUUUUUUAUAAAAUUUUUAUAU